GACGAACGCUGGCGGCGUGCUUAACACAUGCAAGUCGAACGGAAAGGCCCUGCUUUUGUGGGGUGCUCGAGUGGCGAACGGGUGAGUAACACGUGAGUAACCUGCCCUUGACUUUGGGAUAACUUCAGGAAACUGGGGCUAAUACCGGAUAGGAGCUCCUGCUGCAUGGUGGGGGGUUGGAAAGUUUGGGCGGUGGGGGAUGGACUCCCGGCUUAUCGGCUUGUUGGUGGGGUAGUGGCUUACCAAGGCUUUGACGGGUAGCCGGCCUGAGAGGGUGACCGGCCACAUUGGGACUGAGAUACGGCCCAGACUCCUACGGGAGGCAGCAGUGGGGAAUAUUGCACAAUGGGCGGAAGCCUGAUGCAGCAACGCCGCGUGCGGGAUGACGGCCUUCGGGUUGUAAACCGCUUUCGCCUGUGACGAAGCGUGAGUGACGGUAAUGGGUAAAGAAGCACCGGCUAACUACGUG
RNAcentral lists this ribosomal RNA (469 nucleotides) under uncultured bacterium. Its description in RNAcentral is "partial 16S ribosomal RNA". It matches the Rfam family "Bacterial small subunit ribosomal RNA", at positions 28 to 507 of the family's 1533-position model. The record is from RNAcentral.